UUCAAAAACAUCUUUUCUUGUUAGUUUCUGAAGUAUGGCCUGCCCGCUGACGUAUUUUGAGUUGAAGGGCCGCGGUAUUUUGACCGUGCAAAGGUAGCAUAGUCAUUAGUUCUUUAAUUGUGAUCUGGUAUGAAUGGCUUGACGAGACAUGGGCUGUCUUGGGUGUGAAUUUGUUGUUGAAUUUGGAGUUUAAGUUAAAAUUCUUAGAUGUUUUUAUGGGACGAGAAGACCCUAUAGAGUUUGACAUUUGAUUGCGUAUUUCUUGUUGUUUGUUUUGAAUUUUUGUGCAUCUCUUGUUUUGUUGGGGUGAUGGGAGGAAUUUAUUUAACUCCUCUUUUAUGUGGUAUAUUGAUUUGUAAUUGUUUUGAUCCAUUUAUUUUGAUUGUAAGAUUAAAUUACCUUAGGGAUAACAGCGUAAAGC
RNAcentral lists this ribosomal RNA (421 nucleotides) under Odontotermes horni. Its description in RNAcentral is "partial 16S ribosomal RNA". Lineage: Eukaryota; Metazoa; Arthropoda; Insecta; Blattodea; Termitidae. The record is from RNAcentral.